CAGCAGCCGCGGUAAUACCGGCGGCCCGAGUGGCGGCCACUAUUAUUGGGCCUAAAGCGUCCGUAGCCGGGCUGGUAAGUCCUCCGGGAAAUCUGGUCGCUUAACGAUCAGACUUCCGGAGGAUACUGCUGGCCUAGGGACCGGGAGAGGCCGAGGGUAUUCCCGGGGUAGGGGUGAAAUCCUGUAAUCCCGGGAGGACCACCUGUGGGGAAGGCGCUCGGCUGGAACGGGUCCGACGGGGAGGGACGAAGGCCAGGGGAGCGAACCGGAUUAGAUACCCGGGUAGUCCUGGCUGUAAACGAUGCGGACUAGGUGUCGGGCAAGCUAAGGGCUUGUCCGGUGCCGCAGGGAAGCCGUUAAGUCCGCCGCCUGGGGAGUACGGCCGCAAGGCUGAAACUUAAAGGAAUUGGCGGG
Molecule: ribosomal RNA, 414 nt
Filed under: uncultured microorganism
Description: bacterial SSU rRNA
Rfam family: Archaeal small subunit ribosomal RNA
Source: RNAcentral